RNAcentral lists this ribosomal RNA (419 nucleotides) under uncultured bacterium. Its description in RNAcentral is "bacterial SSU rRNA". It matches the Rfam family "Bacterial small subunit ribosomal RNA", at positions 358 to 770 of the family's 1533-position model. The record is from RNAcentral.
GGAAUAUUGGACAAUGGGCGCAAGCCUGAUCCAGCAAUGCCGCGUGUGUGAAGAAGGCCUGCGGGUUGUAAAGCACUUUCAGUAGGGACGAAACUCUGAGGGCUAAUAUCCCUCGGCCUGACUUAACCUACAGAAGAAGCACCGGCUAACUCCGUUCCAGCAGCCGCGGUAAUACGGAGGGUGCGAGCGUUAAUCGGAAUUACUGGGCGUAAAGGGCGCGUAGGUGGUUCGGUAAGUCAGAUGUGAAAUCCCUGGGCUUAACCUGGGAAUUGCAUUUGAUACUGCCGGACUGGAGUGUGGUACAGGUAAGCGGAAUUCCCGGUGUAGCGGUGAAAUGCGUAGAUAUCGGGAGGAACAUCAGUGGCGAAGGCGGCUUAAUGGACCAACACUGACACUGAGGCGCGAAAGCGUGGGUAGCA